UACGGAGGGUGCGAGCGUUAAUCGGAAUUAUUGGGCGUAAAGCGCGCGCAGGCGGUUUCUUAAGUCUGAUGUGAAAGCCCACGGCUCAACCGUGGAGGGUCAUUGGAAACUGGGGAACUUGAGUGCAGAAGAGAAAAGCGGAAUUCCACGUGUAGCGGUGAAAUGCGUAGAGAUGUGGAGGAACACCAGUGGCGAAGGCGGCUUUUUGGUCUGUAACUGACGCUGAGGCGCGAAAGCGUGGGGAGCAAACAGG
RNAcentral lists this ribosomal RNA (253 nucleotides) under uncultured bacterium. Its description in RNAcentral is "partial 16S ribosomal RNA". It matches the Rfam family "Bacterial small subunit ribosomal RNA", at positions 524 to 776 of the family's 1533-position model. The record is from RNAcentral.